This 274-nucleotide ribosomal RNA is filed under the name uncultured bacterium. Its description in RNAcentral is "partial 16S ribosomal RNA". It matches the Rfam family "Bacterial small subunit ribosomal RNA", at positions 523 to 796 of the family's 1533-position model. The record is from RNAcentral.
AUACGGAGGGUGCAAGCGUUAUUCGGAAUCACUGGGCGUAAAGGACGCGUAGGCGGGUUGGCAAGUCAGAUGUGAAAUCCUACAGCUUAACUGUAGAACUGCAUUUGAAACUGCUAACCUAGAGUAUGAGAGGGGGAGAUGGAAUUAGUGGUGUAGGGGUAAAAUCCGUAGAUAUCACUAGGAAUACCGAAAGCGAAGGCGAUCUCCUGGAACAUAACUGACGCUAAGGCGUGAAAGCGUGGGGAGCAAACAGUAUUAGAAACCCUAGUAGUCC